RNAcentral lists this ribosomal RNA (450 nucleotides) under uncultured bacterium. RNAcentral's name for it is "partial 16S ribosomal RNA". It matches the Rfam family "Bacterial small subunit ribosomal RNA", at positions 354 to 796 of the family's 1533-position model. The record is from RNAcentral.
GUGGGGAAUAUUGGACAAUGGGCGAAAGCCUGAUCCAGCCAUGCCGCGUGUGUGAAGAAGGUCUUCGGAUUGUAAAGCACUUUAAGUUGGGAGGAAGGGCAGUAAGUUAAUACCUUGCUGUUUUGACGUUACCGACAGAAUAAGCACCGGCUAACUUCGUGCCAGCAGCCGCGGUAAUACGAAGGGUGCAAGCGUUAAUCGGAAUUACUGGGCGUAAAGCGCGCGUAGGUGGUUUUGUAAGUUAGAGGUGAAAUCCCCGGGCUCAACCUGGGAACUGCCUCCAAAACUGCAUGACUAGAGUACGGUAGAGGGUAGUGGAAUUUCCUGUGUAGCGGUGAAAUGCGUAGAUAUAGGAAGGAACACCAGUGGCGAAGGCGACUACCUGGACUGAUACUGACACUGAGGUGCGAAAGCGUGGGGAGCAAACAGGAUUAGAAACCCCUGUAGUCC